This 71-nucleotide transfer RNA is filed under the name Xenopus laevis (African clawed frog). It matches the Rfam family "tRNA". Rfam says of the family: Transfer RNA (tRNA) molecules are approximately 80 nucleotides in length. Their secondary structure includes four short double-helical elements and three loops (D, anti-codon, and T loops). Lineage: Eukaryota; Metazoa; Chordata; Amphibia; Anura; Pipidae. The record is from Rfam by way of RNAcentral.
GCACCAGUGUUGUAGGGGUAUCAUGCAAAAUUCCCAUUCUUAUGACCUGGGUUCAAGUCCCGGCUGGCGCA